UACGGAGGAUGCAAGCGUUAUCCGGAAUGAUUGGGCGUAAAGCGUCCGCAGGUGGCAAUGUAAGUCUGCUGUCAAAGCGUCUGGCUCAACCAGAUAAAGGCAGUGGAAACUACAUAGCUAGAGUAAGGUAGGGGUAGAGGGAAUUCCUGGUGUAGCGGUGAAAUGCGUAGAGAUCAGGAAGAACAUCGGUGGCGAAAGCGCUCUGCUGGACUGCAACUGACACUCAGGGACGAAAGCUAGGGGAGCAAACGGG
RNAcentral lists this ribosomal RNA (253 nucleotides) under uncultured bacterium. Its description in RNAcentral is "partial 16S ribosomal RNA". It matches the Rfam family "Bacterial small subunit ribosomal RNA", at positions 524 to 776 of the family's 1533-position model. The record is from RNAcentral.